UACGAAGGGGGCUAGCGUUGCUCGGAAUCACUGGGCGUAAAGCGCACGUAGGCGGAUCGUUAAGUGCCUUGUGAAAUCCCACGGCUCAACCGUGGAACUGCUUGGCAUACUGGCGGUCUUGAGCAACCUAGGGGCGAGCGGAACAAAUGGUGGAGCGGUGAAAUGCGUAGAUAUCAUUUGGAACGCCAAUGGUGAAAACAGCUCGCUGGGGGUUUGCUGACGCUGAGACACGAAAGCCAGGGGAGCAAACGGG
Molecule: ribosomal RNA, 253 nt
Filed under: uncultured bacterium
Lineage: Bacteria
Description: partial 16S ribosomal RNA
Rfam family: Bacterial small subunit ribosomal RNA
Source: RNAcentral